GCAAGAGUUACUUCAGCAGAAAGGCUGUGUCAUUUGGAUUACCGGUCUCAGUGGUUCAGGGAAAAGCACUUUGGCAUGUGCUCUGAGUCGAUGCUUGCACUCAAGAGGAAAGUUGACCUAUAUCCUUGAUGGUGACAAUGUCCGACACGGUCUAAACCGUGACCUAGGUUUUAAAGCAGAAGAUCGGGCAGAAAACAUUCGGAGGAUC
This 208-nucleotide unclassified non-coding RNA is filed under the name Hevea brasiliensis (rubber tree). Lineage: Eukaryota; Viridiplantae; Streptophyta; Magnoliopsida; Malpighiales; Euphorbiaceae. The record is from RNAcentral.